GGUAAGAUGGCUCAGUGGUUAAGAGCACUGGGUACUCUCCCAGACGUCCUGAGUUCAAAUCCCAGCAACCA
Molecule: transfer RNA, 71 nt
Filed under: Rattus norvegicus (Norway rat)
Lineage: Eukaryota; Metazoa; Chordata; Mammalia; Rodentia; Muridae
Rfam family: tRNA
About the family: Transfer RNA (tRNA) molecules are approximately 80 nucleotides in length. Their secondary structure includes four short double-helical elements and three loops (D, anti-codon, and T loops).
Source: Rfam by way of RNAcentral